UACAACUUUUAGCAACGGAUCUCUUGGCUCUCGCAUCGAUGAAGAACGCAGCGAAAUGCGAUAAGUAAUGUGAAUUGCAGAAUUCAGUGAAUCAUCGAAUCUUUGAACGCACCUUGCGCUCCUUGGUAUUCCGAGGAGCAUGCCUGUUUGAGUGUCAUUAAAUUCUCAACCUC
Molecule: ribosomal RNA, 173 nt
Filed under: Coprinellus curtus
Lineage: Eukaryota; Fungi; Basidiomycota; Agaricomycetes; Agaricales; Psathyrellaceae
Also listed under: 2 other names
Description: 5.8S ribosomal RNA
Rfam family: 5.8S ribosomal RNA (bases 4-157)
About the family: 5.8S ribosomal RNA (5.8S rRNA) is a component of the large subunit of the eukaryotic ribosome. It is transcribed by RNA polymerase I as part of the 45S precursor that also contains 18S and 28S rRNA.
Source: RNAcentral